This 446-nucleotide ribosomal RNA is filed under the name uncultured bacterium. Its description in RNAcentral is "bacterial SSU rRNA". It matches the Rfam family "Bacterial small subunit ribosomal RNA", at positions 354 to 796 of the family's 1533-position model. The record is from RNAcentral.
GUAAGGAAUAUUGGACAAUGGAGGCAACUCUGAUCCAGCCAUGCCGCGUGAAGGAUGAAGGCCCUACGGGUUGUAAACUUCUUUUCUCUUAGAAAAAACUACUGGUUUCGUACCGGUACUGAUUGUACAAGAGGAAUAAGCAUCGGCUAACUUCGUGCCAGCAGCCGCGGUAAUACGAAGGAUGCAAGCGUUAUCCGGAUUCACUGGGUUUAAAGGGUGUGCAGGUGGGGUAAUAAGUCAGUGGUGAAAGCCCCCGACUCAAUCGGGGAACUGCCAUAGAUACUGUUAUUCUUGAGUGUGGUUGAGGCGGAUGGAAUAUGACAUGUAGCGGUGAAAUGCUUAGAUAUGUCAUAGAACACCGAUCGCGAAGGCAGUCCGCCAAACCAUUACUGACACUGAAACACGAAAGUGCGGGGAUCAAACAGGAUUAGAUACCCGGGUAGUCC